This 737-nucleotide long non-coding RNA is filed under the name Mus pahari (shrew mouse). RNAcentral describes it as "predicted gene 13660 (MGP_PahariEiJ_G0005485.1)". The record is from RNAcentral. Lineage: Eukaryota; Metazoa; Chordata; Mammalia; Rodentia; Muridae.
UUCUUUUUCUACAUCUGUUUCAGAGAUGAUGAUGUCUACAGUCUGGGAAGCUGCUGUCCCUGAGGUCCUGGGGAUUGAACUCACAUAGUCAGGAUUGGCAGCAAGUGCCUUUAUCUGCUGAGCUACCACACUGCUCCCUACCCCAAGCCAGGUGUCAUUUACAAUUACAUAAAAAGAUGUUAUGUGAAGGGAUAAACAGAGAAAAAAAAGGUAUGCAGAAGUUGCUCAAUAAUGGUAACAGCUGCUAUUACUGUUAUUGAAGUUCUUACUGUCACAGAAAUUAGGGGUGGCAGGAAAGGAGGAGACAUUACCUCUGGACUGCCACCAUCUUCAUCCUAAGGCAUCCUAGCAUGAACAAUCUUGAUCAACAAAUCCCAUGAGGGCCUCAAGUUUCAGUUAUGUUAGCUUGUAAGUAUGGUGGGACUCCAUUUGUGACAUCCUUAGAUGGCUUCUCCUGGAGCUUAGAUUCCAGAUAUGGUUUUCAGCCACCGUGGGAGAAAUCUUUUAGUUUCCUAAACUUCUUUUUGCCUGCGCUAGAUGAUAGUUGAACUAUGUGUCAAUCAAAUCUAAGAGGUAGAACCAUUUGAAUCUCUGAAUGACCCCCUCUUGUGGCUCCUCUCUUUCCUUGCACACACUCCUGACUAACACCCACUUACCUCAUCGGGUGCUCUUUUUGUAAUUAAUAACUUGAUGUGGGGGCUACACAAGUAGGAAGCCACUGCUUUUUUUGUCUUUCU